This 369-nucleotide ribosomal RNA is filed under the name Triticum aestivum (bread wheat). RNAcentral's name for it is "partial small subunit ribosomal RNA". The record is from RNAcentral. Lineage: Eukaryota; Viridiplantae; Streptophyta; Magnoliopsida; Poales; Poaceae.
AUGCUCAAAGACCGGCACCUGUAUCAUCCCGGUGCUCAAGUUACUGUUCACUUGCUCGACGACACCACUACAGAAGGCCGCCUGCUCUAUCAUCAGGAGCAUUACGGCGUAGCUUUCUUUAAGGUUGCAGUGGAUGGACGUGUUCAACUAACCUCUUUUGCGGACACAGUCAACACUGGUCAGAAGGUUUUGCGGCUCGGAAGAGAAGAAAAUUUAAAUCUCAGGAUAACCCAUGGCAAGGUUAAACUAGACGAGGAGCAACUAGGAGAGGGACACCACCACAACAUGUACUUUUAUCCCGAUGAAAAAUAUGAGUCAGACCAUUUUGUCUAUUAUAACAAAAAAUUAUAUACAUAUGUUUUAGUGUGA